Molecule: ribosomal RNA, 230 nt
Filed under: uncultured bacterium
Lineage: Bacteria
Description: partial 16S ribosomal RNA
Rfam family: Bacterial small subunit ribosomal RNA
Source: RNAcentral
AAAGGGAGCGUAGGCGGAUAGUUUAGUCAGAGGUGAAAGCCCAGGGCUCAACCUUGGAAUUGCCUUUGAUACUGGCUAUCUUGAGUACGGAAGAGGUAUGUGGAACUCCGAGUGUAGAGGUGAAAUUCGUAGAUAUUCGGAAGAACACCAGUGGCGAAGGCGACAUACUGGUCCGUUACUGACGCUGAGGCUCGAAAGCGUGGGGAGCAAACAGGAUUAGAUACCCCAGU